AAAUUGAAAUGACCCCAGCACAGCUAUUUAAUAGAAGAUAUCCUCCUUGAUUUCUUGGGGGCCCAUAAGAUGACUGAAGUUGUAGAACAGCAAAGACUUGGAACAGACAUUGAAGUCCUAUUACUCCUGUCGGAAACUUCUGUUGACUGCAGCAAGAGUUGGAUGGGACCCAGAGAAACCAAAUACAGACAAGUAGUGAUGAGUUGGCCAUACAAGCAAGGAAAAUCACAGAUAACAGUAAGGAAUGUUUCGGCUACCUGCAGCCUCAUCUGAUGAUGCUUAAAGAACUCAGCUAGCUCGAUCUUCUGUGCACCAGCAGGGACUUCUUUAAAUGGGUAAACUGUAUAGAACAUUGCUUUCAAGUUUAACGUACUUGGAAUUAACCUUAUAAAAUAAUGGCAUAUCUAAAGACAGGUUAUAUACAUAGCACAGACAUGUAUGUGUGCAUUUAUAUGUGCAUAUGUGUGCAUACAUGUGUAUGUAAGUGCACACAUAUGUAUAGAAAUGUUGAUGUUCACCUUUUUGAAAUCUUUACAGCUGGUAUUAACAUGAAUGUGCUGUUAAAUUUGGCAGUGUUAUACAUAUUUGUUGGAUUUUACUUCUGUAAGAUAAAAUCAUAAAGAUAAGCUGUGAAACUCGUGCAGCUG
Serinus canaria (Common canary) is the source of this 647-nucleotide long non-coding RNA. RefSeq lists it as uncharacterized. The record is from RefSeq and is a predicted model, not a curated record. The transcript has 3 exons. Lineage: Eukaryota; Metazoa; Chordata; Aves; Passeriformes; Fringillidae.